This is a long non-coding RNA of Haliotis rubra (blacklip abalone), 100 nucleotides long. RefSeq lists it as uncharacterized. The record is from RefSeq and is a predicted model, not a curated record. NCBI's taxonomy places the organism in Eukaryota, Metazoa, Mollusca, Gastropoda, Lepetellida, Haliotidae. The transcript is spliced from 3 exons.
AAUGAAACCUUUGGUAACAUAUACUGAACAACAAAAGUUUAGCACAUUUUUGUAACAUUUAUAUACAAAAGAAUGAUAUGAGACAAAAUACUGAAAUUUG